UACGUAGGGGGCUAGCGUUGUCCGGAAUCAUUGGGCGUAAAGCGCGUGUAGGCGGCCCGGUAAGUCCGCUGUGAAAGUCGGGGGCUCAACCCUCGGAUGCCGGUGGAUACUGUCGGGCUAGAGUGCGGAAGAGGCGAGUGGAAUUCCUGGUGUAGCGGUGAAAUGCGCAGAUAUCAGGAGGAACACCAAUUGCGAAGGCAGCUCGCUGGGACGUGACUGACGCUGAGACGCGAAAGCGUGGGGAGCGAACAGG
Molecule: ribosomal RNA, 253 nt
Filed under: uncultured bacterium
Lineage: Bacteria
Description: partial 16S ribosomal RNA
Rfam family: Bacterial small subunit ribosomal RNA
Source: RNAcentral